AUGAAGACCUUUCUCAUCCUUGCCCUCCUUGCUAUCAUGGCGACCACCACCACAACUGCAGUUAGAGUUCCAGUGCCACAAUUGCAGCCACAAAAUCCAUCUCAGCAACAACCACAAGAGCAAGUUCCAUUGGUGCAACAACAACAAUUUCUAGGGCAGCAACAACAACAAUUUCCAGGGCAACAACAACCAUUUCCACCACAACAGCCAUAUCCGCAGCCGCAACCAUUUCUGCCACAACUACCAUAUCCGCAGCCGCAACCAUUUCCACCACAACAAUCAUAUCCACAACCACAACCACAAUAUCCGCAACCACAACAACCAAUUUCGCAGCAACAAGCACAACUACAACAACAACAACAACAACAACAACAACAACAAAUCCUUCAACAAAUUCUGCAACAACAACUGAUUCCAUGCAGGGAUGUCGUCUUGCAACAACCCAAUAUAGCACAUGCAAGCUCACAAGUAUCGCAACAAAGUUACCAACUGUUGCAACAAUUAUGUUGUCAGCAACUGUGGCAGACCCCCGAGCAGUCACGGUGCCAAGCCAUCCACAAUGUCAUUCAUGCUAUUAUUUUGCAUCAACAACAACAACAACAACAACAACAACAACAACAACAACAACAACAACAACCGUCGAGCCAGGUCUCCUACCAGCAGCCUCAGCAACAAUAUCCAUCAGGCCAGGGCUUCUUCCAGCCAUCUCAGCAAAACCCACAGGCCCAGGGCUUUGUCCAACCUCAGCAACUGCCGCAGUUCCAGGAAAUAAGGAACCUAGCGCUGCAGACGCUACCAGCAAUGUGCAAUGUCUACAUCCCUCCAUAUUGCUCGACCACCAUUGCGCCAUUUGGCAUCAUGAGUACUAACUGA
Molecule: ribosomal RNA, 873 nt
Filed under: Triticum aestivum (bread wheat)
Lineage: Eukaryota; Viridiplantae; Streptophyta; Magnoliopsida; Poales; Poaceae
Description: partial small subunit ribosomal RNA
Source: RNAcentral